Molecule: long non-coding RNA, 1446 nt
Organism: Xenopus laevis (African clawed frog)
Lineage: Eukaryota; Metazoa; Chordata; Amphibia; Anura; Pipidae
Exons: 3
Source: RefSeq, a predicted model, not a curated record
UAAACUGAUUUCUUACCUUCUUACCUUCCACUAGCAGGCAGAAGGUGCUAGAGUCUGGUGCAAGGUAGAGUACCAGGGGCAGCUGAAGAGAGAGAGCCAAAGGCUACAGAAACAGUGAGUAUUGUGUGAGAAGCAAAGGUAGUUCUAGGACAUAUUAGGAAAAGAAUGGCCCAUGAGAUGGAGAAUGGGAGACUACGCUGAACUUGGAACAAAACUAAAGAAUUCAGUGCAGUGGAAGGGAUAACAAAUGAGAUCUAAAAGAAAUAAGAUGAUUAUUGGUAUAAUGAAUCAUUAUAAAGAGAUUGCAAAUUGCAGAUGCAAUCACACCUAGGAGAGCAGAAAAAGUUGGUAGAAUCUAAAUAUAGUUAUGAAAUGGGUGCAAAAUGUUAUCGGAUUUAAAAUACCAAGCCAAAAAAAAAUAAAUGCCAUCAUACAGAAUAUGUGAGAGAGUAUGUUGGUACCAUUGUAGUAUGCAAACAUAUUAAAGUCCUGCUGUUAUGAUACAUAGCCUCCUUAACAGUUGAACAUAUUUGUGUCCCUUUUAAAUACUAGAUGGGAUGCUGAGGGUAUUGUGGCUGUGCUAAAUCCUAAAGGAAACACUGCGGAUACAGUGGACAGUGUGUUUGUGAGUCAAGUAGAUCUGGCCAAGGCCGUGGAGCACAAAUACUCUGCACUGCGUGAGAUGCUGUACAUGGACAUGCUGCAGGCUCACUACGGAGCCCUGGGCUGGGCAUCUCUUCGUCAGGAGCAGAAAGAUCAGAGUCUUCAGGAGCUCAGGAUGCUGGCAGAAUUUGGCUUAGAGAGAUGCAGUGAGCUGGUAUUAUCACAGCUGCCAGGGGCCACUCAUAUCUUUGGGUAAGUGAUGAGGAUUAUUGCAGAUUGUAGCCAUUGAAUUCUACAUAAAAAAUAUAUAGCAUAAAAAACAUUAAACUUCAUGCCUAUGUAAAAUAUAAUCCUGCACAGCUGACAAUAUUCUAUUUGUAACUCAGGGAUGUGAUUGGUAGUUCUGGCAAUGAACAAAUAUCAGAUAAUAGACCCCAGGCCCACACAGCUAUCCAGGGGUUGAAAGAACUGCACAGAAGGCUUGAGGAGGAGAAAAGAACUCAGAUCAGUUCAAAAAGUGAAAGCGACACUAUAUCCCAGUCAUAUCAGUAUUUUAUGUUGUGUGCUCAGACAAAAAAAGCAACGAUGGAAUACAACUUCAGAGCGGCUGUGCUUGUGGUGGAGCCAUACUGGUCAACAAGGUAUGUGUAGUAUAGUAAAAUCUUUAUAAGAAUAGUAUGCUUAGAUUGUGCUUGGGUAUUCCUUGUAUAUUAUAAAGCAAAACCUUAUUGUGUCAUUUAUGAAAAAGUUAAUAUUUAAUCUAAAAUUCUCCUCAGAUUUGUAUGGUUGUUUCUAGGUCUGAAUUGAGAAUUAAAAUAGGCCCUGGCAUUUCAGGUACACAGA